CAUCGUUUUUUGAUUAAAAAUUUAAGAUCUAGCCUGCCCAAUGAAUAUUUAAAUGGCCGCGGUAUUUUGACCGUGCUAAGGUAGCAUAAUCAUUAGUUUCUUAAUUAGAAGCUGGAAUGAAUGGUUGGACAAGAAAAAAUCUGUCUCUUUAUAAUUUUAUAGAAUUUAACUUUUUAGUCAAAAGGCUUAAAUUUAUUUAAAAGACGAGAAGACCCUAUAGAGUUUUAUUAAUGAUUAUAUAAUUUAAUAUUAGUAUAAAAUUUAUUUAUAUAUUAAUUAAUUUGGUUGGGGUGAUUAGGAGAUAAAAUUAACUCUUUUUGAAUUGAUUUAUAAAUUAAUAUUUGUUUGAUCCAAUUUUUUUGAUUAUAAGAAUAAAUUACCUUAGGGAUAACAGCGUAAUUUUUAUGGAGAGUUCUUAUCGAUAUAAAAGUUUGCGACCUCGAUGUUGGAUUAAAAUUUAUUUUGGGUGUAGAAGCUUGAAAAUUAAGUCUGUUCGACUUUUAAAAUUUUACAUGAUCUGAGU
RNAcentral lists this ribosomal RNA (523 nucleotides) under Ptilodactylidae sp. UPOL RK0149. RNAcentral describes it as "partial 16S ribosomal RNA". It matches the Rfam family "Bacterial large subunit ribosomal RNA", at positions 1814 to 2610 of the family's 2925-position model. Lineage: Eukaryota; Metazoa; Arthropoda; Insecta; Coleoptera; Ptilodactylidae. The record is from RNAcentral.